RNAcentral lists this ribosomal RNA (254 nucleotides) under uncultured bacterium. Its description in RNAcentral is "partial 16S ribosomal RNA". It matches the Rfam family "Bacterial small subunit ribosomal RNA", at positions 524 to 776 of the family's 1533-position model. The record is from RNAcentral.
GACGAAGGUGGCGAGCGUUGUUCGGAAUCACUGGGCAUAAAGCGCACGUAGGCGGUGUCGUAAGUCGGGUGUGAAAUCCCUCGGCCUAACCGAGGAACUGCGCCCGAUACUGCGAUGCUUGAGGACCAGAGGGGUGCAUGGAAUUUCCGGUGGAGCGGUGAAAUGCGUUGAUAUCGGAAGGAACUCCGGCGGCGAAAGCGAUGCACUGGCUGGUUUCUGACGCUGAGGUGCGAAAGCCAGGGGAGGCAAACGGG